UACGGAGGAUGCGAGCGUUAUCCGGAUUUAUUGGGUUUAAAGGGUGCGUAGGCGGGAUGCCAAGUCAGCGGUCAAAUACGGGGGCUCAACCUGCGUCCGCCGUUGAAACUGGCGUUCUUGAGUGGGCGAGAAGUAUGCGGAAUGCGUGGUGUAGCGGUGAAAUGCAUAGAUAUCACGCAGAACUCCGAUUGCGAAGGCAGCCUGCUGGACUGUAACUGACGCUGAUGCUCGAAAGUGUGGGUAUCAAACAGG
This 252-nucleotide ribosomal RNA is filed under the name uncultured Bacteroidales bacterium. RNAcentral describes it as "partial 16S ribosomal RNA". It matches the Rfam family "Bacterial small subunit ribosomal RNA", at positions 524 to 776 of the family's 1533-position model. Lineage: Bacteria; Pseudomonadati; Bacteroidota; Bacteroidia; Bacteroidales. The record is from RNAcentral.